RNAcentral lists this ribosomal RNA (492 nucleotides) under uncultured bacterium. RNAcentral describes it as "partial 16S ribosomal RNA". It matches the Rfam family "Bacterial small subunit ribosomal RNA", at positions 29 to 507 of the family's 1533-position model. The record is from RNAcentral.
AGUGAACGCUGGCGGUAGGCCUAACACAUGCAAGUCGAACGGCAGCACAGUAAGAGCUUGCUCUUACGGGUGGCGAGUGGCGGACGGGUGCGGAAUACAUCGGAAUCUACUUUUUCGUGGGGGAUAACGUAGGGAACCUUACGCUAAUACCGCAUACGACCUACGGGUGAAAGCAGGGGAUCUUCGGACCUUGCGCGAUUGAAUGAGCCGAUGUCGGAUUAGCUAGUUGGCGGGGUAAAGGCCCACCAAGGCGACGAUCCGUAGCUGGUCUGAGAGGAUGAUCAGCCACACGGGACCUGAGACACGGUCCAGACUCCUAAGGGAGGCAGCAGUGGGGAAUAUUGGACAAUGGGCGAAAGCCUGAUCCAGCCAUACCGCGUGGGUGAAGAAGGCCUUCGGGUUGUAAAGCCCUUUUGUUGGGAAAGAAAAGCAGCAGGUUAAUACCCCGCUGUUCUGACGGUACCCAAAGAAUAAGCACCGGCUAACUUCGUG